UUGGUAAUUUUUUAUUUGUUUUACUCAAUUUGUCAAGUUAUAGUACAUAGUACUUUUGAGAAACAAUACAUGUAUUUUCAUAGAUUUCAGUCCAUUGUGGAGUCGUUCCUUCUAAGGAUAUGAAGGUAGAAUGUUUCAAGGUUUAUUCACGGUCUAUUGCCUGUUUAAUGUGCUUGUAUGCUAAUAUUGUGAAUGCCGUUUUUUAACCCUAUUUGAAUUUUCUUAGUACAUACAAUCCUUUCUUUUAUGGCUCUAAAUUUUCGAAGUACAUACAAUGUUUUUUUACCUUUUUUAAAUCUGAAUUUUGAAAUGCCAUUUUAUCAAGAACAGAUAUGUUAUUCUGACCUCACAUUUUUUUUGUUUUUAGCGCCUUAUUUUCUAUCAAGAAAUUGCCCAAGUGAAGAUUGUGAGACCUGAUUUUCUUAGUAUGUGAUUUGGAGAGAAAGACUUGAAAUUCACUUUAUUGCAUGAAAAUUUUAUAGGAAAUGUCUAAACUUGGUCUUAAUCAAUACCUCAUUGAUGGUGGUGAGCAGCGAACAUCUGCCACCACCCACCACCACUUAACCAUUAGGACCUGACACCCAAGAAGAAAAGGUUGUAUCCUACAACAACAACAACAACAAAACUGGGCUUGCCUUUUUUACUUGUUAGAUGAGAUGUUCAUUAUCGUAGAAGCUUGUUAUUGGAUCUAAAAAAGAAUCAUUGGUAUUUUUUUUGUUUAUGUUGGCUAAAUUUAAAUGGCUGAAUCAUUAUUAUUAGAAGAAAGAUAUACAAUAAUUUUGAACUCUGAUUUUAUAAGAAUUAUCUGUAUGCAUAUUUUUUUACUUGUCUCCUUGGCUAUUAUGAAAAUAGAUUUAAUAUUAGAAUUACCCUAAAAUUAAGUACUACAUAGGCACAGAACUCUCGGUGGCACACAUUGGACUAAAUGAGAGUUAUGUGCUGUUUUGCCUUUUACCAGUGCUAAGUGCUAUCAGGCUGCCUGUGAUUCUUUGUUAUGUGCUGUGAUUCUUUAUACUAUGUAUGCAUAUAUGCACUUGUUCUCCUGGUGAUGCUAACCGAAUAGGACUAAGUAUAAUUCAAACCAAGUCCUAUUCGGCCCAAACGGAAACGGACGGGAGUUUUUACAAUUUUUGUGGAAUCGGACAGAUUCGUUUUUUUCGCCCAAAUUUUUUUUACCGCGUCGAUCGAAUCGGAUUUGAUUUGUUUUUUUACCGGGUCGCAUUUUUUUAAUCGCGUCACAUAUAAUUCCUUUUUUUUUUCAAUGGGACAGAUUCGUUUUUUUUCACCUUUUUUUUACCGCGUCAACGGAGUUGGUUUCGUUUUUCUUUCUCGCGAUUUUUUCCAGCUUUUUUUUUGGAUCGGACAGAUUCAUUUUUUUUCUCCCGUUUUUUUUUUCUACCCGAUAUUUUUUUCGCCUAGUGUUUUUGUCCUUUAACUUAUAAGUACUACAUAUGAGGAACCACAUGUUAUUUGAUAUGGGAAUUGGUGGCAGAUUUACUGCUCCGUUAUUUUCUUCUUUUAAAGUGGUUGUAUAUUUUAAAGUUAUAAUCGCUACAAAUGGUGUGCUCUCUAUUCUAUUAGGAUUUAGUCUAAUUUUUUUUACCUUUGAAUCUUUGUAUCUAUAUAUUAGUCACCCUGUUACUUGGUUAAACACUUUACAUAAUACAACAAAUGUGAUUUGGGCUUUCUUGUGGAACAAUCAUGUUGUUUUAGUCUGUAUAGAAAACAUAUUCAAAUUAUGUUGUUAGAUUAAAGGGUUUUUUUUUUCCAUUCUCUCACCUUCUCCCUCUCUUCUCUCCCUCCCACCCUCCAAAUCCUAUUCAGAUCUUCCUGGGAACUCCACCUCUCUCUCCCUCUCUCCCUCUCCCCCUCUCCUCUCCCUCACGCCCUCCAAAUCUCUUCCUGGGAACUCCACCUCUCUCUCCCUCUCCCACUCUUCCCCCUCUUCUCUCCCUCUUUUCUCUCUUCUCUCCCUCUUACACCGUCCAAAUCCGAACAGCAGCAGGAGGAGGAGG
This 2015-nucleotide long non-coding RNA is filed under the name Oryza sativa (Asian cultivated rice). Its description in RNAcentral is "long non-coding RNA (OSAT_LNC000017)". The record is from RNAcentral. Lineage: Eukaryota; Viridiplantae; Streptophyta; Magnoliopsida; Poales; Poaceae.